UUUGGUGAUUCUAGCGUGGCGGAACCACCCGUAACCAUCCCGAACACGGUAGUGAAACGUCUCAGCACCUACGAUACUGCGCUCGCAAGGGCGUGGGAAAAUGGGUCAUUGCCANGG
Molecule: ribosomal RNA, 117 nt
Filed under: Chloroflexota bacterium
Lineage: Bacteria; Bacillati; Chloroflexota
Source: RNAcentral